This 345-nucleotide long non-coding RNA is filed under the name Durio zibethinus. RNAcentral's name for it is "long non-coding RNA (DZIB_LNC000521)". The record is from RNAcentral. Lineage: Eukaryota; Viridiplantae; Streptophyta; Magnoliopsida; Malvales; Malvaceae.
AGCAUCCUCUGCCGAAAAGAUUCCACCUUCUGACCCAAUCAUAUCUCUUCUCAAAUAAUCAAGGAUAUCACGGGCGAUAAAGGAAUAGAAAACAUCCCUAGUGAUGGAAAAAACAUCCAAGUAAACAUUGGCAAGUUGCCCUUGGUCAUACAGCAUUUUCUCAAAAUGAGGAACUGCAAGAAAAGAUAACAGUUAUAAUGAUGUCCAUCACAACAAUAGACAAAAUGAAAAUUUUUACGACAAAAAUUAAGUUGCCAGAAAAAGGAAGAACAAAAAAAAAAUGUUGUGGGAAUGAUGAAUACUAUAAUAUGAAUUAGUGGUAAAUAUGUAGCAAUCAUAUUGAUU